Molecule: non-coding RNA, 94 nt
Organism: Mycena haematopus
Lineage: Eukaryota; Fungi; Basidiomycota; Agaricomycetes; Agaricales; Mycenaceae
Source: the annotation of a GenBank genome assembly
GGCAGAGUGGCGUAGCGGUACGCGUCGGUAUUAGAUUUGAUAGUCGCCGAACUGAAUAAAUCCGAGGUACCUCGUUCGAAUCGAGGCUUUGCCU